AGAGCUGCAGGGAAUAGAGUUGGGGUGCUCAGCUCUCUGUCUGUCCCUUGGUUCAGAAUUGGAUCGUAUCUGUCUCUACCUAAUAAUAAAAGUAGCAUGGGCUUCGUCCGUCGGUGUUUUUUGCGUUUUAGUCCUUCGUUUCUUCAAGAAUCAACGCACGGUACGAAACUGGACUUUUCUGCAAAAACGGAUUUACCCCUGCCUCCACUCCUCCUCCCAUGGCCGCAGUCCCGCACUCCUCUCUCGUCCGCUCGCCCGGCCGCCGGCCUCCUCCCUCCUCGGCGCGCCCCGGCCCCAGUCUCCUCCCUCCUCCGCCCACGGCCUGGAGACUGCCGGAUCCGGCCAGGCCGCCGGCCUCCUCCCUCCUCCGCCCGCAGCCUGGAGGCCGCCGGAUCCGGCCCCGCCAUGCACCGGCCUCCUCCAUCCUCCGCCCACGGCAUGGAGGCUGCAGGAUCCGUCCGCGGCGGAUCCGGACGCCCCGACGCCGCCGGCCUCGAUCUGGCCGACCCGAGGUAUGGGCUUCUUUUCUCCUCUCCGGUUCUCUCUCUUCUUUUCUCUCUCUGGUUCUCUCUCUCUCUUCUUCCCGUGCUGCAGAUCCGGCCAUCCUUGGCCGCCUCUCUUCCCCGCCACAGAUGGCCAUGGAGGUGAGGAGUUCGGCACCUCGGCUCCUCCACCGAAGAGACCGACCUGGAGCCACUGCAGAUAGCCCACUUUUUUGAAUUUGGUUCUUCCUAAUUUUUUUGAGAGGUGGUUCGCUGUAAUUAGCGUUGAUCAUCAUAUGAAAUUUCAGACCCGUGACCUUCCUUUUGUUUUAAAUCUUCAAAUCGGUAUCAUUGCUUGUGUGCUUGGAUUCACGAUUUAAUCGAGAUCUCAAAAAUGUGAAAAAGCAGUUUGCGGCUGAUGGAAGUAAACAAUGCAAGCGCUCUUGCUGCUUGUGCUUCGUUAGGGCGAUUAGAUGUUGGCAUCAAGUUGCAUGAGCUUGCGAGAAGUAAGGAAUUCAUCAGAUACGUGGUUGCAAACGCGCUCCUCCUGCUCUGCUUCAGUCCGUGCGGUGAUACGUGGUUGUGUAUAUGUAUCUUGCUAUGCAGUGGUUGGGUUCAGUCUUAUGUGGAUGCAUCCACUAUGACAACAAGUUUAAUCAUAAA
Brachypodium distachyon (stiff brome) is the source of this 1145-nucleotide long non-coding RNA. RefSeq lists it as uncharacterized. Lineage: Eukaryota; Viridiplantae; Streptophyta; Magnoliopsida; Poales; Poaceae. The transcript has 2 exons. The record is from RefSeq and is a predicted model, not a curated record.